AUGGCAGCCUGUAUCCAGCGACCGGGGCCCCAAACCAGACAGCAUGAAGACCAUCCUUGCUCCAAGCUCUCUAUGAGGCUGCUGAGGCGGGUUGUGACAAUCCUACAGCCCAGCCUCUGUCCAGUGUGGCUCCUUCCCCUCCCCCACGGGUGCUAGCCCAGCAUCUCCUCUAAUAAACCUCCCACACACUAAUCACUCAUCAGAGCCUGCCACCAGGAGCCAACCGGCCACAGCCCCGAAAUAAAAACAACGAGGAGGUUUUCAGCUCAUAAAUGUUUAAAGGACAGUUUACAGAUGCCACUUAAGUCAACUCCAUUAAUUAUUCCCUUUCGUAUUUAUGAGCAUCUAAAGUGUCAUUACCUCGAAUAAUCAUCUGUAGGUUACGAGUUCUCAGUUUACAUAAAUUCCCAGCCUCUAUGUAGUAGUUGCAGAGAAAUCUUAGCGAAUGGUAAAUUAUGAUUUAUUGAUUUAUUGAUUUAUUUUGGUCCUAGUUCCCCAACCAGGACCACUGCAGUGAAAGCACCAAGUGCUAACCACUGGACCACCAGGUAAUUCCAAAUAAUGGAAGCAUGUAGGAGCUAUGAAGAUGUUAAAAAUGGCCUUGCCCUUUGCAAUAUAGAUGCUACAAGCAGAACAUAGAGAUGAAAGUCAAGAUAAUGCCAAGAUCUGGGGGCAAAGAAAGGAAAGUGACCCACAGACCUAUGCGUCGCUCUAUGACUCAUGGUCCUGUUUGAAGUACUCACUGCCUCUCAGGGUUUCAUCCUCACUACCAGCUCAAAUGUCCUCUCUCCAUUUUCUCCUUUCCCCUUUUUAUUCUCACUCUCUCUGCUAGAGGCCUUCCUUGUCUGCAGGAAAGCACGGCAAGGAGAAGAAUCUAUGGUUUAAGGGGAGGAAACACAUUUUGUGCUAGUCUCUCUCCUUUCCAUGAAAGCCUUUUUCAAGAUGAUCCCAACAUUGAGAGUUUCCCAUGUUCAUUACCCUUUCAAGCCCUUGUGACAAUUCCCCAAAUCUCUACAAAUAAAUGAGUUGAUUCACUUCAAAA
This is a non-coding RNA of Kogia breviceps (pygmy sperm whale), 1042 nucleotides long. The record is from RefSeq and is a predicted model, not a curated record. NCBI's taxonomy places the organism in Eukaryota, Metazoa, Chordata, Mammalia, Artiodactyla, Physeteridae.